Molecule: ribosomal RNA, 397 nt
Filed under: uncultured bacterium
Lineage: Bacteria
Description: partial 16S ribosomal RNA
Rfam family: Bacterial small subunit ribosomal RNA
Source: RNAcentral
AUACGUAGGGGGCGAGCGUUGUCCGGAAUGAUUGGGCGUAAAGGGCGCGUAGGCGGCCCGGUAAGUCUGGAGUGAAAGUCCUGUUUUUAAGAUGGGAAUUGCUUUGGAUACUGUCGGGCUUGAGUGCAGGAGAGGUAAGUGGAAUUCCCAGUGUAGCGGUGCAAUGCGUAGAGAUUGGGAGGAACACCAGUGGCGAAGGCGACUUACUGGACUGUAACUGACGCUGAGGCGCGAAAGUGUGGGGAGCAAACAGGAUUAGAUACCCUGGUAGUCCACACUGUAAACGAUGAAUGCUAGGUGUAGGGGGUAUCGACCCCUUCUGUGCCGCAGUCAACACAAUAAGCAUUCCGCCUGGGGAGUACGGCCGCAAGGUUGAAACUCAAAUGAAUUGACGGGG